UACGAAGGGGGCUAGCGUUGUUCGGAAUUACUGGGCGUAAAGCGCGCGCAGGCGGCUAUCCAAGUCAGUGGUGAAAGCCCGGAGCUCAACUCCGGAACUGCCAUUGAAACUGUUUAGCUUGAGGACGAGAGAGGUGAGUGGAAUUCCCAGUGUAGAGGUGAAAUUCGUAGAUAUUGGGAAGAACACCGGUGGCGAAGGCGGCUCACUGGCCCGGUACUGACGCUGAGGUGCGAAAGCGUGGGGAGCAAACAGG
Molecule: ribosomal RNA, 253 nt
Filed under: uncultured bacterium
Lineage: Bacteria
Description: partial 16S ribosomal RNA
Rfam family: Bacterial small subunit ribosomal RNA
Source: RNAcentral